RNAcentral lists this long non-coding RNA (291 nucleotides) under Salvia miltiorrhiza (redroot sage). Its description in RNAcentral is "long non-coding RNA (SMIL_LNC000986)". Lineage: Eukaryota; Viridiplantae; Streptophyta; Magnoliopsida; Lamiales; Lamiaceae. The record is from RNAcentral.
CUUAAUUUUAUUUUUUUUUGGUUGUUUGGAUGCAUUCGUCUGGGUUUUAAAGGAAAAGACGGUGGUUAAUGAGUAGUAAAGAGAAAUCAUCUGCAUGUUAAUAAUUCGUACAUAUGCGGAGUCUAUUAUCUAAUAAUUCGUGCACAAAUUUUCUGAAUUUAUAUUUCCGUUAGGAUGAAUCUGUAUGAAUUUCUGAAUUAGUAUGAAUUAUUAAACUUCCUACGCGAUCAUGCACGAAUUAAAGAAUAAUUAAUUGUGAAUUAUAUGCAACAAUGAUUCGUGAGAAUUAAC